This is a long non-coding RNA of Mustela lutreola (European mink), 1892 nucleotides long. RefSeq lists it as uncharacterized. Lineage: Eukaryota; Metazoa; Chordata; Mammalia; Carnivora; Mustelidae. The transcript is spliced from 3 exons. The record is from RefSeq and is a predicted model, not a curated record.
GAAGAAGAAUGUGGAUGGAAAAAUGCCACGGAGGGCCAGAGCGAGGAGACCUACCAUAAUGAGGCUGCCGGCAAACAUGCCAAGUGCAGGCUUUUUUUUAGGUACCCAGAUAGACUUCGUUUCCAGCCACUCUGCUAUUACCUGGGGCCACAGGACUGACUUCUAGCCAGAGCAAGUUAGGCUCUAUGCUCUAUGUGGACCCCAGUGUGGGGCGUCAACUCAUGACCCCGAGAUCAAGACCUGAGCUGAGAUCAAGAGUCGGAUACCCAACCAACUGAGCCACCCAGAUGCCCCCAACCUCCACAAGAUCUUAAUUCAGCCACUUACUGGUGACACCCAUUUUAGGUCUGCAAAUCUUCUAAGAAUUACAUGGUUAUUUAUCAGGUUCAUGAGCAAGCUACAACUGUGGCUGUGCAUUCUUGUCUCGGUGUCUGAUAAAGUGUGUGUCAUAGGCUCAGGUACACCCAUUUCUGGCUCCCUUGCUGGAAACUCAACUCUAGUCCUUGUAAGCACACUAUUGGUGGCAAAACCAGAUGCAGUAGAGGGAGGACAUAUAAAUACUGUGUACUCCAGAAUUCAAGCAGUGUGGCCCUUCCAGCCUGCUUAUACUCAGUCUGAAGUGUGGUUCUCUUACCUCAUGGCUUUCCCCCUGGCUUCCCACUGUGUGCUUCAACUGAUUUUAAUAAUCUAUGUGAUUCAAGUGUUUUAAUUUGGUCUGGGAGCCCUUUUGUUUCAUGACUUGGGGCUGGUUGCCUGCCUGGUAGUGUACUUGGGGGCCACUCCUGCAACAAGGUCAUUCCCCAUGCAAUGGAGAAGAUAUGGGAAGUUUAAAAAAAUAAUUUGAAUUUCUUGGGGGGUAUAUCUUGGAGCCAAUGAUUCUACUUUAUCUAAUUUGCUUAAUCAUUUGCUGUGGUUUUAAGGAACAGUUCUGAUUUUCUAUGAAGCGAAGAAACACAAAAGAACAAUAUUUUGAAAUGGACUAACUUCUGAAGUGAUUUGUGAGACCACAUCUGGAAAAUAAUUAUAGCAGAAAAAGCCCACAAACAAAUAUUUCAUCAAAGGAAUGUUGAACUGAAAAACAGCAUCACGUUCUGAUGACACUUGCUUACUUUCAUAUAUCCAUUCAAAGGAUAUUUACAAAGCCCGAGACAUGAAUCGUCUGAUGACAUUUAAGACAAUGCAAAAAUAAAUUUAGAUCUAAAGUAUCACUGAAUGACAUAAUUCAAUUGUAGUAGAAGGUCAUUAUUUAAAUAAAUAUUAAUCAGAAACAGGAUUAGACCUUGGAGUUUGUUUCAACAUAUAUUAGCACUGAAUGCCAAAGUAAAAUCAAGUAUAUAAUUUGGAGCAGUUUAACUUAACAUUUGCUGUGAUUAAUUUUUUCUUUAUUUUAUGUUAAUCCUAGUAGAGUCAACAUACAGGGUUAUAUUAGUUUCAUUGCUGGGAGUUAUUUACUGCCCAUUUGUUCAAGGCAGUCCACUAGAUACUGCAUAUGGCUAUGAAGAUGAAACAUAUAUUCUCCAAGGGUUUACAGUCUAAUUAUAAAGAUGGAGAAUAUUCUCCAAAAGUAAACACAACUUCAUAGAAAUGAAAAGCUAUAGGGGUUGGAAGAAGGGACAAACCUAUCUGGCUGGAGGAGCUGUGGGAGAUUAGGAUCCAUGACUGGCAGGUAAAGGGCAAGGAGAAAGCAAAGAAGGCCCAUGGAAUUACAUGAUGCAGAACUUAGGUAUUUCCUUACAAGAAGUCAAGAUAGUAGCUCACAUGGACCAUAAACUAUUAUGGAAAAAGAUAUGACAAAACCUACAGGUAAUGACUCUGGUAGCGGCAGACUUUCUCACUGUUCUCUCACCCCCAACAUCAUAACUUAAUUGACCAUUAGGUUUCCCAGGGAAGCA